CCAGACUCCUACGGGAGGCAGCAGUGGGGAAUAUUGCACAAUGGGGGAAACCCUGAUGCAGCAACGCCGCGUGAAGGAAGACGGUUUUCGGAUUGUAAACUUCUGUUCUUAGUGAAGAAUAAUGACGGUAGCUAAGGAGCAAGCCACGGCUAACUACGUGCCAGCAGCCGCGGUAAUACGUAGGUGGCAAGCGUUAUCCGGAUUUACUGGGUGUAAAGGGAGCGUAGACGGCAGAGCAAGUCUGAAGUGAAAGCCCGCGGCCCAACUGCGGGACUGCUUUGGAAACUGCCCGGCUAGAGUGCUGGAGAGGUAAGCGGAAUUCCUAGUGUAGCGGUGAAAUGCGUAGAUAUUAGGAGGAACACCAGUGGCGAAGGCGACUUUCUGGACUGUACCUGACGCUGAGGCGCGAAAGCGUGGGUAGCGAACGGGAUUAGAUACCCUCGUA
Molecule: ribosomal RNA, 445 nt
Filed under: uncultured bacterium
Lineage: Bacteria
Description: bacterial SSU rRNA
Rfam family: Bacterial small subunit ribosomal RNA
Source: RNAcentral